GGGUUGUGAGGUUAAGCGACUAAGCGUACACGGUGGAUGCCCUGGCAGUCAGAGGCGAUGAAGGACGUGCUAAUCUGCGAUAAGCGUCGGUAAGGUGAUAUGAACCGUUAUAACCGGCGAUUUCCGAAUGGGGAAACCCAGUGUGUUUCGACACACUAUCAUUAACUGAAUCCAUAGGUUAAUGAGGCGAACCGGGGGAACUGAAACAUCUAAGUACCCCGAGGAAAAGAAAUCAACCGAGAUUCCCCCAGUAGCGGCGAGCGAACGGGGAGCAGCCCAGAGCCUGAAUCAGUGUGUGUGUUAGUGGAAGCGUCUGGAAAGGCGCGCGAUACAGGGUGACAGCCCCGUACACAAAAAUGCACAUGCUGUGAGCUCGAUGAGUAGGGCGGGACACGUGGUAUCCUGUCUGAAUAUGGGGGGACCAUCCUCCAAGGCUAAAUACUCCUGACUGACCGAUAGUGAACCAGUACCGUGAGGGAAAGGCGAAAAGAACCCCGGCGAGGGGAGUGAAAAAGAACCUGAAACCGUGUACGUACAAGCAGUGGGAGCACGCUUAGGCGUGUGACUGCGUACCUUUUGUAUAAUGGGUCAGCGACUUAUAUUCUGUAGCAAGGUUAACCGAAUAGGGGAGCCGAAGGGAAACCGAGUCUUAACUGGGCGUUAAGUUGCAGGGUAUAGACCCGAAACCCGGUGAUCUAGCCAUGGGCAGGUUGAAGGUUGGGUAACACUAACUGGAGGACCGAACCGACUAAUGUUGAAAAAUUAGCGGAUGACUUGUGGCUGGGGGUGAAAGGCCAAUCAAACCGGGAGAUAGCUGGUUCUCCCCGAAAGCUAUUUAGGUAGCGCCUCGUGAAUUCAUCUCCGGGGGUAGAGCACUGUUUCGGCAAGGGGGUCAUCCCGACUUACCAACCCGAUGCAAACUGCGAAUACCGGAGAAUGUUAUCACGGGAGACACACGGCGGGUGCUAACGUCCGUCGUGAAGAGGGAAACAACCCAGACCGCCAGCUAAGGUCCCAAAGUCAUGGUUAAGUGGGAAACGAUGUGGGAAGGCCCAGACAGCCAGGAUGUUGGCUUAGAAGCAGCCAUCAUUUAAAGAAAGCGUAAUAGCUCACUGGUCGAGUCGGCCUGCGCGGAAGAUGUAACGGGGCUAAACCAUGCACCGAAGCUGCGGCAGCGACGCUUAUGCGUUGUUGGGUAGGGGAGCGUUCUGUAAGCCUGUGAAGGUGUACUGUGAGGUAUGCUGGAGGUAUCAGAAGUGCGAAUGCUGACAUAAGUAACGAUAAAGCGGGUGAAAAGCCCGCUCGCCGGAAGACCAAGGGUUCCUGUCCAACGUUAAUCGGGGCAGGGUGAGUCGACCCCUAAGGCGAGGCCGAAAGGCGUAGUCGAUGGGAAACAGGUUAAUAUUCCUGUACUUGGUGUUACUGCGAAGGGGGGACGGAGAAGGCUAUGUUGGCCGGGCGACGGUUGUCCCGGUUUAAGCGUGUAGGCUGGUUUUCCAGGCAAAUCCGGAAAAUCAAGGCUGAGGCGUGAUGACGAGGCACUACGGUGCUGAAGCAACAAAUGCCCUGCUUCCAGGAAAAGCCUCUAAGCAUCAGGUAACAUCAAAUCGUACCCCAAACCGACACAGGUGGUCAGGUAGAGAAUACCAAGGCGCUUGAGAGAACUCGGGUGAAGGAACUAGGCAAAAUGGUGCCGUAACUUCGGGAGAAGGCACGCUGAUAUGUAGGUGAAGUCCCUCGCGGAUGGAGCUGAAAUCAGUCGAAGAUACCAGCUGGCUGCAACUGUUUAUUAAAAACACAGCACUGUGCAAACACGAAAGUGGACGUAUACGGUGUGACGCCUGCCCGGUGCCGGAAGGUUAAUUGAUGGGGUCAGCGCAAGCGAAGCUCUUGAUCGAAGCCCCGGUAAACGGCGGCCGUAACUAUAACGGUCCUAAGGUAGCGAAAUUCCUUGUCGGGUAAGUUCCGACCUGCACGAAUGGCGUAAUGAUGGCCAGGCUGUCUCCACCCGAGACUCAGUGAAAUUGAACUCGCUGUGAAGAUGCAGUGUACCCGCGGCAAGACGGAAAGACCCCGUGAACCUUUACUAUAGCUUGACACUGAACAUUGAGCCUUGAUGUGUAGGAUAGGUGGGAGGCUUUGAAGUGUGGACGCCAGUCUGCAUGGAGCCGACCUUGAAAUACCACCCUUUAAUGUUUGAUGUUCUAACGUGGACCCGUAAUCCGGGUUGCGGACAGUGUCUGGUGGGUAGUUUGACUGGGGCGGUCUCCUCCUAAAGAGUAACGGAGGAGCACGAAGGUUGGCUAAUCCUGGUCGGACAUCAGGAGGUUAGUGCAAUGGCAUAAGCCAGCUUGACUGCGAGCGUGACGGCGCGAGCAGGUGCGAAAGCAGGUCAUAGUGAUCCGGUGGUUCUGAAUGGAAGGGCCAUCGCUCAACGGAUAAAAGGUACUCCGGGGAUAACAGGCUGAUACCGCCCAAGAGUUCAUAUCGACGGCGGUGUUUGGCACCUCGAUGUCGGCUCAUCACAUCCUGGGGCUGAAGUAGGUCCCAAGGGUAUGGCUGUUCGCCAUUUAAAGUGGUACGCGAGCUGGGUUUAGAACGUCGUGAGACAGUUCGGUCCCUAUCUGCCGUGGGCGCUGGAGAACUGAGGGGGGCUGCUCCUAGUACGAGAGGACCGGAGUGGACGCAUCACUGGUGUUCGGGUUGUCAUGCCAAUGGCACUGCCCGGUAGCUAAAUGCGGAAGAGAUAAGUGCUGAAAGCAUCUAAGCACGAAACUUGCCCCGAGAUGAGUUCUCCCUGACCCUUUAAGGGUCCUGAAGGAACGUUGAAGACGACGACGUUGAUAGGCCGGGUGUGUAAGCGCAGCGAUGCGUUGAGCUAACCGGUACUAAUGAACCGUGAGGCUUAACCUUACAACGCCGAAGCUGUU
This 2930-nucleotide ribosomal RNA is filed under the name Escherichia coli. RNAcentral's name for it is "23S ribosomal RNA". It matches the Rfam family "Bacterial large subunit ribosomal RNA". The record is from RNAcentral. Lineage: Bacteria; Pseudomonadati; Pseudomonadota; Gammaproteobacteria; Enterobacterales; Enterobacteriaceae.